RNAcentral lists this unclassified non-coding RNA (289 nucleotides) under uncultured fungus. Its description in RNAcentral is "partial contains 5.8S ribosomal RNA and internal transcribed spacer 2". The stretch from base 1 to 133 matches the Rfam family "5.8S ribosomal RNA", at positions 22 to 154 of the family's 154-position model. The record is from RNAcentral. Lineage: Eukaryota; Fungi.
UGGUUCUGGCAUCGAUGAAGAACGCAGCGAAAUGCGAUAAGUAAUGCGAAUUGCAGAAUUCAGCGAGUCAUCGAAUCUUUGAACGCACAUUGCGCCCACUGGCAUUCUAGUGGGCAUGCCUGUCCGAGCGUCAUUUCCCCCCUCAGGCACCAUGCUGCCUGGCGUUGGGGCCUCUACGCCCCCCCGCGGCGUAGGCCCUCAAGACCAGUGGCGGGCUGCCGGCCGUUAAAGCCCUUCUCAGGAAGACAACACAAAGGUUGACCUCGGAUCAGGUAGGAAUACCCGCUGA